RNAcentral lists this transfer RNA (79 nucleotides) under Comamonas terrigena NBRC 13299. RNAcentral describes it as "tRNA-Ala". It matches the Rfam family "tRNA". Rfam says of the family: Transfer RNA (tRNA) molecules are approximately 80 nucleotides in length. Lineage: Bacteria; Pseudomonadati; Pseudomonadota; Betaproteobacteria; Burkholderiales; Comamonadaceae. The record is from RNAcentral.
GGGGGAUUAGCUCAGCUGGGGAGAGCACCUGCUUUGCAAGCAGGGGGGGUCGUCGGUUCGAUCCCGUCAUCCUCCACCA